RNAcentral lists this ribosomal RNA (1368 nucleotides) under metagenome. Its description in RNAcentral is "bacterial LSU rRNA". It matches the Rfam family "Bacterial large subunit ribosomal RNA", at positions 1540 to 2925 of the family's 2925-position model. The record is from RNAcentral.
UGGCGUUUAGACAAUGCUAGGAUGUGAUGGGGAAGCCCUUCGGGGCGAAGUAGCUGAUUUCACACUGUCAAGAAAAGCUUCUAUCGAGUUUAAAGGCGCCCGUACCGUAAACCGACACAGGUGGGUGAGGAGAGUAUCCUAAGGCCAGCGAGAGAACUAUUGUUAAGGAACUCGGCAAAAUGACCCCGUAACUUAGGGAGAAGGGGUGCCUGUCUAUGACAGGCCGCAGAGAACAGGCCCAAGCGACUGUUUACCAAAAACACAGGUUUCUGCUAAGUCGUAAGACGAUGUAUAGGAGCUGACGCCUGCCCGGUGCUGGAAGGUUAAGGGGAUCUGUUAGAGCAAUCGAAGCAGUGAACUUAAGCCCCAGUAAACGGCGGCCGUAACUAUAACGGUCCUAAGGUAGCGAAAUUCCUUGUCGGGUAAGUUCCGACCCGCACGAAAGGCGUAACGAUUUGGGCACUGUCUCAACAAUAGACUCGGUGAAAUUGUAAUCCCGGUGAAGAUGCCGGGUACCUGCGACAGGACGGAAAGACCCCAUGGAGCUUUACUGUAGCUUGACGUUGGGUCUUGGUACUACAUGUACAGGAUAGGUGGGAGACUAUGAAGCAUGGACGCCAGUCUGUGUGGAGUCAUCCUUGGGAUACCACCCUUGUAGUACUGGGAUCCUAACCAUAGGCCUUGAAUCAGGUCUUGGAACACCGUCAGGUGGGCAGUUUGACUGGGGCGGUCGCCUCCUAAAAAGUAACGGAGGCGCUCAAAGGUUUCCUCAGCACGGUCGGAAAUCGUGCGAAGAGUGUAAAGGCAAAAGGAAGCUUGAUUGCAAGACAUACAGGUCGAGCAAGGACGAAAGUCGGACUUAGUGAUCCGGUGGUACCGCAUGGAAGGGCCAUCGCUCAACGGAUAAAAGCUACCCUGGGGAUAACAGGCUUAUCUCCCCCAAGAGUCCACAUCGACGGGGAGGUUUGGCACCUCGAUGUCGGCUCAUCACAUCCUGGGGCUGUAGUAGGUCCCAAGGGUUGGGCUGUUCGCCCAUUAAAGUGGUACGCGAGCUGGGUUCAGAACGUCGUGAGACAGUUCGGUCCCUAUCCGUCGCAGGCGUAGGAAAUUUGAGAAGACCUGUCCUUAGUACGAGAGGACCGGGAUGGACGUACCUCUGGUGUACCAGUUGUUCUGCCAAGGGCAUAGCUGGGUAGCUAUGUACGGAAUGGAUAAGCGCUGAAAGCAUCUAAGCGCGAAGCCAACUUCAAGAUAAGAUUUCCCACCGUAAGGGUAAGACCCCAGGAAGACUACCUGGUUGAUAGGUCGAAGGUGUAAGUGCAGUAAUGUAUUUAGCUUAUUGAUACUAAUAGGUCGAGGACUUGACCA